CCUCGGGUCGCUGCAGUAGGGAAUAUUGCUUAAUGGGCGAAAGCCUGAAGCAGCAACGCCGCGUGUACGAUGAAGGCCUUCGGGUUGUAAAGUACUUUUUGCAGGGAUGAGGAAGGACAGUACCUGCAGAAUAAGCCUCGGCUAACUACGUGCCAGCAGCCGCGGUAAAACGUAGGAGGCGAGCGUUAUCCGGAUUUACUGGGCGUAAAGCGCGUGUAGGCGGAUUGGUAAGUUAGCUGUGAAAGCUCCCGGCUUAACUGGGAGAGGUCGGUUAAUACUGUCAGUCUAGAGUAUGUGAGAGGGAAGUGGAAUUCCGGGUGUAGUGGUGAAAUGCGUAGAUAUCCGGAGGAACACCAGAGGCGAAAGCGGCUUCCUGGCACAUAACUGACGCUCAGACGCGAAAGCUAGGGGAGCGAACGGGAUUAGAUACCCGGGUAGUC
Molecule: ribosomal RNA, 440 nt
Filed under: uncultured bacterium
Lineage: Bacteria
Description: partial 16S ribosomal RNA
Rfam family: Bacterial small subunit ribosomal RNA
Source: RNAcentral